This 1181-nucleotide long non-coding RNA is filed under the name Trifolium pratense (red clover). RNAcentral describes it as "long non-coding RNA (TPRA_LNC005525)". Lineage: Eukaryota; Viridiplantae; Streptophyta; Magnoliopsida; Fabales; Fabaceae. The record is from RNAcentral.
AGUAGAUCUACAUCAAAAAUAUCUUUCUCCUUCUUGAAAUCAUGUUUCCCUCUUUGAUAAAGACCACAAAAAUCUUUCCCCUUCUCUGCAAUUUCACGUUCCGAUCGCAUUCGUUGAUGUUCUUCCGACGAGCUGCCACCGCUCACCAUCGUAAGUCUCUGCAACCCUCUCUCUGUGUACCCAUCGUUCGUUUUCUCUAUCUGUGAAUACCACUAAACCCUAACUUCAUCUUUCUCUCAAAUCCCUAAAUUGUGAUUUGAUAUUUUUAGUAUAUACUAAGUUGUCAAUUACUAUUUUUAGUCAUUGAUAAGAUUGAUGAAGUAGCAGCUGCAAAAUCUGUGUUUCAUUGAUGAAUUAGUAGCUGCAGGAUCUGUUUUUAGUCAUUGAAAGACUAAUCAAUUAUAUGCUAAGUUGUUAACUUAACCAUAGAUCCAACCAUUAACCAUUAAGUGUUACAAUUAGCUUUUUGCUAUCUCUUUAUUUCUUUUUUCUUUUUUGACACAACUUAUGGUUGUCUCUUGAAUGCAAUAUUGGUGAAAUCCAACUUUUUUUAAUUGAGAAGAGGUUAUUAUUAAUUAACAUUAAUCUCUCAACUAUCUUUAACAACUAUAUGUUUGAUGCUAGCUUGUUUUGGACAUUGAUGCCAAAGACUUUGGAUAAUCCAUGUUAUAGAUUGUGCUUACGAAGUGUCUCGAUAACUAAUCUCUGCAUUAAUAUCAUAGUCAUUAGCUAACUUUAUGAAUCUGGAUUUGGUACAGUGGAAUUGCGUGUUUACUAAAGCUGAACAAAGCUGGGAGGGGUGAUGGUUGAAGAGCAGGUUUCAUCUUUUUGUUCUGAAUCUGUGCAAGUUGAAGAACAAGAAUGACAAGCUUACUAAUCGACUCACAUUUGUUUAGAUUUAUGGAAAUGCAUAAGUAAAUUACAGUGGAGCCUCCCUCCCUGAGACUGAGAGUCUUAUAUUUUGGCUUUUAGCUUGGCAAGUCUUUUGGGGGAAAUUCUUGUAUUUAUUUUCCACGUGCCUACCACAUGAUACUCUGUUACUCUUAUUUCCUUUAAUUUUAGUUUGGGUAGAUAACCGGUUCUUCCGGCUUAUUAAAAAGGAGAUAAUUCGCACUAUGACUUUUUGUAUUUUCUUCAUAUGAGUUUCAUGAGAAGUUUUAAAAAGAAUUUUUAUUGGUACA